UUUUUUUUUUUUUUUUUUUUUUUACCAUUUAACUAUUAAAAACCCAUAUUUCCAGUAAUGGAAGAUUAGGAUUAAUCCACCAUAAAAUUAAUUCAAUUUUCUAAAUGUUAGUCAUUUAAAAAGUCUUAAGGUAAUUUUUUUCUGCUGAAAGGGAGAUAGGCCAGUAUAGAAAUAGGACAUAAUAAUAAUAAUAAAAAAACACAAAAAGAGCCUUUGCUGCUUGGCAACAGGUAGAACCAUAGCUCACGGAACUACUUAUUAUGUACAUCAUAAUGGAAUUCUUUAGGCAAACCACAGAAAAAAGUCCUAGUAAUAUUUCCAUUAUACCUUUUUCUCCAAUGCUCAGGAAACCAAUACACACACACAUGCACACACACACAUGUAUAUGUAAAAAUUUAACAUGUUCAUAUUUUGUGGGCAAGAUAGUAACUGAAAGAAUAUACUGAAGUUGAUGUAGUGAAUACAUAUACAGUCUCUCUCUUUCAUAUAUACUCUCUCUCUCUCUCUCUCUCUCUCCUACACACACACAAACACACACACACAAACACACACAAACUAGAAAUAACUUUUCGGGUUGGAAUAAAUUAUAAACAUUGGUAUAUGUUUAAUUUAAAUACGCUAACAAGGAAGAUAUAGUAUACUGAUUUUUAAGAAAAAUAAUUCAUAAAUCAUAGCCAAUGUAAAAGUCCAUUCUUAAAUGCCUUAAAUUAUCUGCAGUUUCUUUAAGUUACCACAAUUCUUAGAACGAAAACAAUGAGGUAUUUAUGUUAUUUCAGUAAAUGGCAGCAUAAAAAACGAUCUAUUUUAAACGAUAAGCAUAGCAGUCCACUUAAGAGCUGUUUUUUAACUAGACAAUUUGGUUUUGCAUGAAAAUUGCAACUAAGUUUAAUUAUUACAAUCCGAAGGGUAAUAGCUCACACCUCCUUAAAUAAAGAAGGUAAGCUUCUACAAGAGUCAGGUAUAGAAUAUUUAAAUCAGAUCAAUUGUAUGAUAGUAAGGAUAAGCAGAAUGUAGCCACGACCACCUAUGAUGAUGACUGAAAAUUUGCAAUAUACAACAAAACAAGCAAUAACGUUGAAAUAAAUGGGUAAGUUUUCAGCAUAAGGUCCUGGACAGUUUAUCCAAAACACGAAGGUCAGUAAGUUUUUACUCCACUCCGUAUUACCCAUCUCUUCAUAUUAAAAGUGAAAACAUUUAACAGCCUGCUUCUAGUGUUUCUAUAUAUUUGUAUAAAAUUUAUUUUUAUCCUAGUUGGACUAUCAUUAAAUCCUUCCAAAGGCAGAAAAGAUGUAUGAUUCUUUCAAUUUAAAUACAUUCUCAUUCUAAACGGUCCGUGAGCUGGUUCUUUAUGUUUUCCUGAAUCCAAGUUGAGGAUGAUCUUCCAAGCCGAGUACUGCAUGAAAGUCAAUGUCAUCUAAGGUCUAUUUCCUCCAUUUUCCCAUCAUGCCACUUUUUAAGGCAAUACCUUUAAUUUCUCCUAGGUGUUCACUGCAUGCAUUUUCUAUUAAGUCCCACACACUGAUAAUGCACAAUCGUUCGCAUUACAACAGUCAGGAACUUCAUGCAUUGGCAUUACUAUAGCCAGGAAGUUUAUGAGAGGUGUACAUUCAUUAAGUCAUCCGUUCUCAGGAUCUGCUGCCAUUAGGCACCUAAAGGCUGAAACUCAAUCCACUGCUAAGGUAAUAAGAGGGGCUUCUCCUCUGCACACAGACACCACGGGAAGGCAAAGGUUAGAACUUUGCGACACAAGAUUCUUCUCGCUUUGGAAUCUCAGACCAGCCAGGUUCUGGAGGGUUUCCUUAGUGGUGCGGGGCCUCGAAGUCAAGGGAGCCCCUAGGGGAUCGACCUCUUGCCUCCCAUGUGUACCCAAGCUGGGUCCCAAGCUAGCACACCUCCCGCACAUCACCCGAGCGGAAGUGGCGCGUCCGUCGGUCCGUCCUUCCGGCCUGCCGUCUGCCAACUUCCGGCGGCGGGUGGGCGCGCGCCAGGUAACGACCUUCUGCGCCGAGGCUCGGCCGUCGGCGGCGUGUGGAUGGAGGCCUUGGCCCCGGGCCGGGCUCCGCGGGGCCGGCGGCGGGCCGGGGCCUCGGGCUCCGUGCUCUCGCCGCUGUCGCUGGCCGCCGUCCUGCUCUGCGCCUUGCUGCGGGCGCCCCCUGCAGUUGGACAUUUGGCUCGACUGCCAAGAAGUAUCCACUUGACUCAAGAUUCACUGAAAAUAGUGGGAUCGACACAUUUUCCUGUGAGCGUAUAUGUUAUGCUUCAUCAAAAGAGUCCACAUGUGCUAUGUGUAACCCAACGACUGAGAAAUACAGAGCUGGUAGACCCAUCAUUCCAAUGGCAUGGGCCAAAAGGAAAACUUGUUUCAGAAAAUACCACUGCACAAGUGACCUCCACAGGAAGCCUCAUAUUUCAGAGCUUUGAAGAGACCAUGAGUGGGGUUUAUACAUGUUUCCUCGAGUAUAAACCAACUGUAGAGGAAUCUAUUAAAAAUCUUCAACUGAAAUACAUUGUUUAUGCUUAUCGUGAACCUCGGUUUUAUUAUCAGUUCACAGCUCGAUACCAUGCAGCUCCCUGCAACAGUAUCUAUAACAUUUCUUUUGAGAAGAAACUUCUUCAGAUUUUAAGUAAGCUGGUUCUUGACCUUUCCUGUGAAAUAUCCUUGAUUAAGUCUGAAUGCCAUCGUGUUAAAAUGCAAAGAGCUGGUUUGCAAAAUGAAUUGUUCUUCACAUUUUCAGGCUAAAAAUCUCAUAGAGAGAUUCUUCAUUCAGCAAGUAGAAGUCCUGGGCAAGCGUGCGGAGCCACUGCCUGAGAUAUACUACAUUGAGGGAACCCUUCAGAUGGUGUGGGUGAACCGCUGCUUUCCAGGGUAUGGCAUAAAUGUCCUGAAGCAUCCCAAGUGCCCAGAGUGCUGUGUGGUCUGCAGCCCUGGAUCCUUCAAUCCCCGGGAUGGAACUCAUUGCCUCCAGUGCAACAACAGCCUGGUGUAUGGAGCGAAGACAUGCAUGUAGGCCAGGGCCUUGUGGGACCCAGCAGCUCAUUCAACAUAAAAGUAUAUUUUUGAAGUACUAAAGUAUAAUAACUCACUAUUAUGCCAAAAUUAAAUAAUCAGAAUUUACAAAGAUACGGUGUCCUCAUUCAAUCCAGUACUGUAUGCAUCAUCUUUCUUGGUUAAUGAUAAUGGUUAGCUGCAUCUGACACCAGAUGACUCCUUUGUCACUGCCUUUUAAAGAUUGUUUCAAAUGUUCUGUAUUGGGUGAUGUUAAAAGAUUUUUCAGGAAUUAAAAAAAUACUCUUUAUUUUUACUAUAUGUCACCUAUAUUCAGGCCAUCCUAUUUUAUAAGAGCUUUAAUCUUAACUUACAAAGUUUUAGCUAUUUGAACUUGGCCUUUGACAGCUCAAAGCCAGUUUCAAAUUACAUGUCCUGGGUCUCCUUAUUGUACUUGUUAGUGGAAGACCUAGUCCUAGAGAAAUGGUGGCAUUUAAUAUCAGUGUAUUUGGCUUAAAUGAUCAGUUGACAGACUCUUAAACCAGACAUAGAAGCAUAGGCCUGUAAUCUUAAUAAUUUGAAGCUGAUGGCAGGAAGAUCAAAAGUCCAAGGAGAGCUUGGACUAUGUGAGAACCUGCCGCAAAAAUCUCUUACAACGUUUGAGAAUGUAGCUACCAUUGAAUGUUCUCAGUAGGCUGAAGCAGUUUGUCUCCCAACAGUGCUUCUAGGACAAAGGAUUAAUAAGGAUCACAGUUUUCAGUUUUUGCACCUUUAAAAUGCAUGCUGUGUGUCAGAAGUCACUGCUGCUACCACUAAUACUAUCUUCUUUUACAUUUGGAUGCCACAUUGGAAUAUGAAGAGUUGCGUAAAGAUUUAAAUAGAGGAAAAUCCACAAAUAACUUUGGAGUCAUUUUCUAAAGUUCUUAUUGAUCAGCCGGUUCACAUUUCCUUCAUCUUCUCUGUGAGACGUUGCCUGCUUUGCUUUUGACAUCAGCCGCUCAAGGAUGGAAAACCAAAUAGUUGGAUCUUACUGAGAUCCUUGAAGUGGCAGCAUCUUUAAGUGCCAGGUUGGCUAACAAGGAAGUAUACUUGUUGGCUUGUAGAGAUAAAGCUAGCUAGAAAAGAUCCUAUUAUAUCUUCCUGUGAACAAGUGCAGCCUCAGUAUUCUCAUACAGAAGAAGGCAAUUGGCCUGUGGUUGUUCUUGGUUAGCCCUGGUGGUAAUUGCUUUCUUCCUCUGGGCUUUCAUCAUUAGCACCAAUUGCUGCUUUAUAGCUCAUAGAGGUUUUUAGAUGUCUUCUUUUCUCUGGCAGGCAACACAGUGAGUAUUAUACUGCUUGGGUAAAAUAUGAAAUUUCUCUACAUAACUAGCAUAUUCAUCCUGUAACUUCUAGGACCCCAGUCUCCUCCUCUAAAACUUCUUGAAACUAUCCCAAUUUCUUAGGAAUUUUCAUAGGAAUAGCAAGACAGAGUAGAGAUAUCAAAAGAACUGGGCUCUAAGGAUGACACUCAAUUAUUUCCCUUGUAAAUUGUGAACCCCGGCCUGCUCUGCACUUCCCAGCUCUAUGACAUAGGAAAUUAAUUAUAUAUAAGCAAGGUAAAUUUUCUGUUAGAGAUAAAACAAUCCUAGCUGAUAAAGUACUAACUACAGGGAGUUGUAAAGCAAACACUGGGAAAGGAGGUUAUCAAAGAACCAGCUAUCAGCAGCUGUAGCUUUUUGUAAGCUCCCAUAUUCGCCAUCAUGAAUCAUUUCUUUUAAUAUUAUGUGCUUUCCCAUAUAUUGGGAUUGAUUCAAUAUAUUCUUCCAAUUGUCAACCUAGGAGAGCAGAGGUAGAGCUGUAAUGGUGGUGAUAAGUCUGGAGAACAGUGUCUUCCGGAAGCCAUAGACCAUCUUUAUAGGAGUAGACAUGCAAUAGAAGUGUGUCUUUAGAAAUACACUCUAGAAUUAAGUUCCCAGUUUACACAGGCAGACUGUUCAACAAAACCUUACCAAUGUUAGAGAUCAGAGCAAGGUAAAAUUAAGAGGUGAGGUCAAGAGAAGUAUCUUUAGAAAGAGAAACAAAAGACAGACAUUAAUGAUUACCCUUUGCUGUUUCAUAUAGUGAAAUAAUCCAUUUGAUUAUGUGACAUCACUGCUGUUUUAGCCAACCAUGUGUUUGUAUUCAGCAUUCAGCUAUACUAGCCUAUUUCUAGUUAUAGCCCUCUGCAUACACUAUAGUUAGGUUUUUAUAUGAAUUAAAGGUCUAUGACUGACAAUAUGUCAGUAUCUAAAACAAAAGUUACUUCUGUUGUAAUGUGAUAAGAUGGACAGUGUUAAUCAGUGUUUAAAAUGACAUCAGCAUGUGCCAGAAGCUGUGAGUGGUCUCUAAAAGAUUGUUGUCAUAUAGCAGUUUCAGGGAGUUCAGCUUACAUCAAAAUAAUUUCUUCCUGUACAAUACCUUUUCAACUAUAUGAACAGAUAAUUACCUAAUUUAAUACCUAAUUUAAGGGGAAAUAUCUAUUUCCAUUCUGUAUUAUAUUUACAUUAAAUAUGUAAUGUAUGUUCAUUUAGCAGUAUGGAAAUAAAGAUCUUUAAGUUUGGUUCAGUAAUCUCAUUUCCUGAUGAUUCAAUUACUAACAAGUAAAUUAGAUAGGUGAAAUGGCACUAAGUGUCACAGCGUAUGUAGUAAUAAGCAAAAUUAGCACAAGUGCCCCUUAGGAAGGGCGAAUAAACUGUUCUACUUUUACAUUACAGGCUGUUUCCAAGCUAAUGAAUUGCUGUCACAUUUUCAAAUUGAAUGAAUUAAUUCAGAACAACUAUAUACUUAACUGUAUAUUUUUGGAUUAUUAUUGUUUGUAUUUUGAGUUAUAAAACAAAUGCACUGAAAUGUUUAUCUCAUGUUUGUCUCGUGUAACAGGAUCAUGCGUGAGUUUUUUUGAUGCCUUCUGUUUAUCAAAAUUUCUUUAAUGGUAUGAAUUACUUUCAAAAUGUUAGAAGCAAUAAACUUACUUUGAAAAACUGCA
RNA transcript from Mus musculus (house mouse), 5987 nucleotides. It is a transcript of the gene named zona pellucida binding protein, with no coding region annotated. The record is from RefSeq and is marked validated. NCBI's taxonomy places the organism in Eukaryota, Metazoa, Chordata, Mammalia, Rodentia, Muridae. The transcript is spliced from 7 exons.